GAUAGUAUAAAUGGUUAUGUGUGUUAAUUUAAUAUUUAAGAAUAGUAUUAUGAAUGAAAUUUAUUUAGUUUUAAGAGCUUAUUGUACUGUGGGGGAUGUGAGAUUAUUUAUGAGAAAUAUUAGGUUAUUUAUUACCUUUUGUAUUAGGGUUUAUUAAUGUUAUUAAAUAUUAAAUUUUUUCUCGAUUAAUAUCGGGCUAUUAUUCAUUAAUAUUAAGUUUAUUGCAUAAAACUGAUUAUUGGUUAAUAGUUAUGAAAUAUUAUUCAAGUUAUUUUAUAUCUAGUUUCCUGAGGAAGAUAAUUGCUGGUAUUUGUAUUAUUACUGUAAGUAGGGAUUAGCUUAUUUAUUUUUUAUAUAAUUGAGAGUAGAGUUUCAUUAAUGAAGUUGAAAGUUCUUAGUUAUAUGGUGUUAUUACUGAUUGUGAUUUGAUUUUUUAUUUUUUUAAUUUAUGUUAAGAUUAGGGGUAUUAGUAUAAUUUAGUUCUAGUGAUAUUAUGAUAAAAUUAGUAAUAUGUUUGUUGUAAAUGGGUUGGAUUAGGAUAUUUGAUUAUUUUUAGUGAAUUUAUUUAAAAUGAAGAAUUAGGCAAAUUAGCUCUUGACUGUUUAGCAAAAACAUUGUUUUUUGUUAAGAUAAGAAAUACGUUCUGCCCACUGCUAUUAGGUGAAGGGCUGCAGUAUUUUGACUGUAUGAAGGUAGCAUAAUCAUUAGCUUUUUAAUUGGGGGCUGGUAUGAAGGUGAAACAGGGGCUGACUAUUUUAUUUUAAUGUGAUGAAUUUUGUUUUUAUGUGAAAAACCAUGAUUGAAUUAAAGGGACAAGAAGACCCUAGUAAGUUUUAUUUUUUAAUUUGAUGCGGGUGUAGGAUUGAUAAUUUAUGCAAUUUAUUUUGAGGGGUUUGACUGGGGCGGUAUGUUGAAAACAUUAUUUAUUUUUUAACUUUUUUGAUGGCGUUUUUAGACCUAAUUGGUUUAGUUGAAUGGAAAAUUACUGUAGGGAUAACAGCGUAAUUUUUCUUAAGAGUUCUAAUUGACAGGAAA
Molecule: ribosomal RNA, 1035 nt
Filed under: Parafontaria sp. n. 4856
Lineage: Eukaryota; Metazoa; Arthropoda; Diplopoda; Polydesmida; Xystodesmidae
Description: partial large subunit ribosomal RNA
Source: RNAcentral